AGUGAACGCUGGCGGUAGGCCUAACACAUGCAAGUCGAACGGCAGCACAGUAAGAGCUUGCUCUUACGGGUGGCGAGUGGCGGACGGGUGAGGAAUACAUCGGAAUCUACUUUUUCGUGGGGGAUAACGUAGGGAAACUUACGCUAAUACCGCAUACGACCUACGGGUGAAAGCAGGGGAUCUUCGGACCUUGCGCGAUUGAAUGAGCCGAUGUCGGAUUAGCUAGUUGGCGGGGUAAAGGCCCACCAAGGCGACGAUCCGUAGCUGGUCUGAGAGGAUGAUCAGCCACACUGGAACUGAGACACGGUCCAGACUCCUACGAGAGGCAGCAGUGGGGAAUAUUGGACAAUGGGCGCAAGCCUGAUCCAGCCAUACCGCGUGGGUGAAGAAGGCCUUCGGGUUGUAAAGCCCUUUUGUUGGGAAAGAAAAGCAGCAGGUUAAUACCCCGCUGCUCUGACGGUACCCAAAGAAUAAGCACCGGCUAACUUCGUG
RNAcentral lists this ribosomal RNA (492 nucleotides) under uncultured bacterium. Its description in RNAcentral is "partial 16S ribosomal RNA". It matches the Rfam family "Bacterial small subunit ribosomal RNA", at positions 29 to 507 of the family's 1533-position model. The record is from RNAcentral.